Long non-coding RNA from Octopus sinensis (East Asian common octopus), 219 nucleotides. RefSeq lists it as uncharacterized. The record is from RefSeq and is a predicted model, not a curated record. The transcript has 3 exons. NCBI's taxonomy places the organism in Eukaryota, Metazoa, Mollusca, Cephalopoda, Octopoda, Octopodidae.
AUUGUUAGGAAGGAUCACAAAAGUACAGCUCCCAAAAUUACUACAGAGCUUAAUGUCCACCUCGAGAACCCAGGUUCCACAAACACUGUUCGCCGAGAGCUGCACAAAGCCGGAUUUCACGGGAGGGUUGCAAUCAGAAAACCGCUACUUUCAAAAGCAAACAUUGUAAAGCGUUUAGAAACUGGAAGAAAAAAGAUAUAUAUAUAUAUAUAUAUAUAU